CAGGGUUGGCUCCUUCUCUCCCUCUGUCCAUCUCCUCCCUGCGCCAUGGCCCUGUGCGCUCUGCCUCUCUGUCUCCUGGGGCUGUUCCUGGCAGGUUCUUGUGCCCAGCAUGUGGUGACGCAGCCUCCCUCAAUGUCAGCGUCUCCAGGGCAGACAGUGAAACUCUCGUGCAGCGUCAGUGGAGGAUACGACAUCAGUAGCUAUGGAGUGAGGUGGUACCAACAGACCCCCGGGAAUCCUCCCAGAUACCUGCUCUAUUAUUACAGUGAUUCUAGCACAGGCAGGGGCUCUGGGGUCCCGGACCGGUUCUCUGGCUCUGCCUCCGGCAGUGUUGGCUACUUAACCAUCUCUGGGCUCCAAGCCGAGGAUGACGCUGAUUAUUACUGUGCGACUUGGGACGACAACGCUGAGAUGCUCACAGUGGUGUAA
Non-coding RNA from Malaclemys terrapin pileata, 429 nucleotides. Lineage: Eukaryota; Metazoa; Chordata; Testudines; Emydidae. The record is from the annotation of a RefSeq genome assembly.